GACGUAGGGCGCGAGCGUUGUCCGGAUUUAUUGGGCGUAAAGAGCUCGUAGGCGGCUUGUCGCGUCGUCCGUGAAAACUUGGGGCUCAACCCCAAGCCUGCGGUCGAUACGGGCAGGCUAGAGUUCGGUAGGGGAGACUGGAAUUCCUGGUGUAGCGGUGAAAUGCGCAGAUAUCAGGAGGAAUACCGAUGGCGAAGGCAGGUCUCUGGGCUGACACUGACGCUCAUGCACGAAAGCGUGGGGAGCAAACAGG
RNAcentral lists this ribosomal RNA (253 nucleotides) under uncultured bacterium. Its description in RNAcentral is "partial 16S ribosomal RNA". It matches the Rfam family "Bacterial small subunit ribosomal RNA", at positions 524 to 776 of the family's 1533-position model. The record is from RNAcentral.